ACCCGCUGAACUUAAGCAUAUCAAUAAGCGGAGGAAAAGAAACCAACAGGGAUUGCCCUAGUAACGGCGAGUGAAGCGGCAACAGCUCAAAUUUGAAAUCUGGCGUCUUUGGCGUCCGAGUUGUAAUUUGCAGAGGGCGCUUUGGCAUUGGCAGCGGUCCAAGUUCCUUGGAACAGGACGUCACAGAGGGUGAGAAUCCCGUACGUGGUCGCUAGCCUUUACCGUGUAAAGCCCCUUCGACGAGUCGAGUUGUUUGGGAAUGCAGCUCUAAAUGGGAGGUAAAUUUCUUCUAAAGCUAAAUACUGGCCAGAGACCGAUAGCGCACAAGUAGAGUGAUCGAAAGAUGAAAAGCACUUUGGGAAGAGAGUUAAAAAGCACGUGAAAUUGUUGAAAGGGAAGCGCUUGCAGCCAGACUUGCCUGUAGUUGCUCAUCCGGGUUUUUACCCGGUGCACUCUUCUAUAGGCAGGCCAGCAUCAGUUUGGGCGGUUGGAUAAAGGUCUCUGUCAUGUACCUCUCUUCGGGGAGAACUUAUAGGGGAGACGACAUGCAACCAGCCCGGACUGAGGUCCGCGCAUCUGCUAGGAUGCUGGCGUAAUGGCUGU
RNAcentral lists this ribosomal RNA (603 nucleotides) under uncultured fungus. Its description in RNAcentral is "eukaryotic LSU rRNA". It matches the Rfam family "Eukaryotic large subunit ribosomal RNA", at positions 23 to 641 of the family's 3401-position model. The record is from RNAcentral. Lineage: Eukaryota; Fungi.